UACGUAGGGUGCGAGCGUUAAUCGGAAUUACUGGGCGUAAAGCGUGCGCAGGCGGUUUUGUAAGCCAGAUGUGAAAUCCCCGGGCUUAACCUGGGAAUGGCAUUUGGGACUGCAAGGCUGGAGUGCGGCAGAGGAGACUGGAAUUCCUGGUGUAGCAGUGAAAUGCGUAGAUAUCAGGAGGAAUACCGAUGGCGAAGGCAGGUCUCUGGGCUGACACUGACGCUCAUGCACGAAAGCGUGGG
Molecule: ribosomal RNA, 242 nt
Filed under: uncultured bacterium
Lineage: Bacteria
Description: partial 16S ribosomal RNA
Rfam family: Bacterial small subunit ribosomal RNA
Source: RNAcentral